GAGGGUGGUUAGUGGAAGCAACUGCCAUGGGUUCCUUUUCAUCCGCGCUGACUAAAUCCAUUGCCAUCGCGCUUCUUGUGAGGCCCAGAGGGAGCAUGCGAAGGGGAGAGGCAGCACCAAAGUUGAAGCGAAUCCAUAGGCGUACCAGUGUGUCUCCGGUUCCUUGAUGCGGAGACAAUGGUGUGGUUGACCGUAGGUGUGUGUCCUCGGAGGAGCUUGGAUGAGAAUCUCACAUGAAGAUAAGUCGACUUUUAAUUCAACGAACCCUUUUCUGCAAAAGCUUGUGCCCCAGUGGGGGAAUUAAGGAGGAAUUAUAUUCUUGGAGAUGUUGAAAAAAGAUUCCUGGGUCUUGGAAGAUAAUUACUAGAAAUAUGCAGGUAUUUGACGUAACAUGGAGUAAAGAUGCAAAUACACAGCAGCAGAGUUAGAGGAGGUUGCCUUUCCCCCCAAAGCUUGAAUUUUAUCCAGUGUGUGCUUCUGAUCAUUGGAAACCUUGUCUAACAACAGAAACAGCAUAUAAAGCAUAACCAGCUUUGAAAUGUAUUAAGGCGUGGUUGCCCGUCCCAUGUCAGGCUUGAUGUUGAAAAGACGACACUGCCAAGUUAGCAGAAGAAACAAAUCGAAGGGUGUUGUUCUCCAAGAACACCAUUUAUCAGAUUUAUCAAGAAUUCAAAGAUUUAUAUAAUAAGGUAGUCCGUCCUUUGCACCAUUUCAACAUAUGCCUGAAUAUCAGUUUUCACACUGUAGACAAUACCUGUCCCCCAACGAGACUGAACUUUUAGUCACAGUACUAACUGAAUUAUUCCGUAAACGUUGCUGCUAGCUCUUUAUUCCAGAAUCAUUAUGCAAAUAAAAGAUGUGCCUCAUGAAUCUACUUUGGAUUGAGGACUGUAAUAAAAAACAGUUACAUCACUUCUUUCAGAUUCUUGGUGAUUGAAAACAUCCAUUAGCUGCAGAUGGUAAAGCUGUGUUCUUCCUUGUCUCCCAUGCAACAUUUUACAAAAAUGGAUCAUCAGAAGAGGGAAUUGGUCAACAGAUAUGACAGCAAAGAAAUGAAAAAAAAAAAAGGGGGGGUUUCAACAUCUUGUAGUUUAAAUUGCACUAGGAGCGGAAAGCUGCUUAUGGUUGAAAUGGAGCCUUUAUUUCUACUUUGGAUUAAGGACUGUAAUCAAAAACAAAUCCCAUUCAGUUAGGCACUGAAGUUAGUUGCUACAUGUAAGGAAAAUGCUAAUUACAAGGACAUCUUUUUAGUACCAGUAAAGGCUGGUUUCAUCAUUUUAGAAGUUAACAUGAAUUGAUUAAUGUUAAGCUAUCUGGUGAAGCUACAAGCUCAAAUAAGAAUGCUACUGUGAAAUUUGCACCCAGAUUCCAAGAAUUACAGGCAUUCCUCAUUUUGCACAGUAGUGAGAGACGACUGCAAAAAACUGCGAGAUUCGGAUGGAAUGUAAAUGGAGUUAAGGAAGGUAAUGAUGACCAUGGGAACACUGCUGCCUGCCAUUCAAGGAACAGUUCUAGACAUGCGGGAAGCAGAACUUAAGGUGAAGUUCCAAGUGAAGAAAGCGGUUGUAAAGCAUGAGUGCAUCUCAGGAAGUGAUGGUGUUGACAGACUUAGGCUGAAGGAGCUCUGCAGAGAUCCAUCGUGACAUUGACAGCACAGAGGACAAAUUUUGGAAGGUGAUUCAGACUUAGAAAGGAGGAUGGCAAUUUACGAAGGCAUAGACAAGAUGCUCAGUAAGUUGUAAGAUGAGUAGAAGGCAGCACUUUUCAAACUAUAUUUUUUAUAAAGAAAACAGUUUCAAUGUUUCUAGUGUUUUAAAUGACUUUAUUACAUUUAUAACCAACA
RNAcentral lists this long non-coding RNA (1843 nucleotides) under Sus scrofa (pig). Its description in RNAcentral is "lncRNA (ENSSSCG00005042694.1)". The record is from RNAcentral. Lineage: Eukaryota; Metazoa; Chordata; Mammalia; Artiodactyla; Suidae.